RNAcentral lists this ribosomal RNA (550 nucleotides) under uncultured Hyphomicrobiales bacterium. RNAcentral's name for it is "bacterial SSU rRNA". It matches the Rfam family "Bacterial small subunit ribosomal RNA", at positions 138 to 721 of the family's 1533-position model. Lineage: Bacteria; Pseudomonadati; Pseudomonadota; Alphaproteobacteria; Hyphomicrobiales. The record is from RNAcentral.
ACNGGAUAACAGAGAGAAAUUUCUGCUAAUACCGUAUGUGGCCUAUGGGCGAAAGAUUUAUCGGCUUAAGAUGAGCCCGCGUUGGAUUAGCUAGUUGGUGGGGUAAAGGCCUACCAAGGCGACGAUCCAUAGCUGGUCUGAGAGGAUGAUCAGCCACACUGGGACUGANACACGGCCCAGACUCCUACGGGAGGCAGCAGUGGGGAAUAUUGGACAAUGGGCGGAAGCCUGAUCCAGCCNUGCCGCGUGAGUGAAGAAGGCCUUAGGGUUGUAAAGCUCUUUCACCGGUGAAGAUAAUGACGGUAACCGGAGAAGAAGCCCCGGCUAACUUCGUGCCNGCAGCCGCGGUAAUACGAAGGGGGCGAGCGUUGCUCGGAAUAACUGGGCGUAAAGGGCGCGUANGCGGCCGAUAGCUGUCANAUGUGAAAUUUUUGGGCUCANCCCGAAAACUGCNUUUGAUACNUAUUGGCUAGAGUGCGAGAGAGGAUUGCGGAAUUCCCAGUGUAGAGGUGAAAUUCGUAGAUAUUGGGAAGAACACCAGUUGCGAAGG